This is a long non-coding RNA of Gallus gallus (chicken), 2745 nucleotides long. NCBI's taxonomy places the organism in Eukaryota, Metazoa, Chordata, Aves, Galliformes, Phasianidae. The record is from Ensembl.
GUGAAGCCAGGAUCCACCCCUUCCUAGAACUCAUGUAAGGGUUGGCAAUGGAGGCAAGGGUGCCUUGCUGGAGAUCCCUGCAUACCUGAGGCCCUCUGAAGACACGGAGCUGGAAGAGAAACUUCUCCCUUACAAAUCAAAGCACUUGCUUCAUCCCUUCUUUUCUCUCUUGCCCAAUCAUCCAGAUUAAUUCUGGAUUGAGAACAUAAUUUCAAGCCUUUAUUGCACUUCUUUGGGCCAGAGAACAUUCCUUUUUUUAAAGGAAAAUCUCCAUAAAUAUUACUUUGCUUUUGAUUAAGUGAAUGCACAGCAGAAGGCGGAAUUGCUUGAAGCCCUUUCCACUGGGAUGGCCUGCAGCUUGCCAACCUCAUGGGAUGGCUGCAGCACUGGGACACGCAGCCAGGACACCAGUGGGAUGUCUGUGGGCUGAUUUGUCAGAUGUGAUGCACAAAGACAACAGGUUGGCUGCCUCUGAACCGCUUGCAGACCCUGUCAAACCCUUCUGCCUGUGUCUGAGGACAUGUAGCAGUUAAGGAACUGGCCCACCAGGUGCGAGGGGUACCUUGGCUUCAGCCCUUCCUGCCCCAGCAGCCCAUGGCACAGCCACUCCCCCUGCUUCACUCCCACCUCCAAGCACCACAGUGAUAGCACUGUCAAAUGUGUUGAGGGGAACAAGAUUAGAUAAGGAAUAAGGAAGAGGGAGGAGGCACUCUUUCUGCUGAUAUGUCAUCACUGGAACAUCUGUAUUAUGUCUGGGUGUGCUAGCAAUUGCUUCUUUAAAGUCCCACUGCAAGACAAUUAGAACUGAUAAAUCAUAAGAAUUUUCUGGUUUUAAGAUCCCCAAUGCAAUGGGAAAAAGAAAAGAAUGGACGCUCACCUGAAAUCUGCUGAGCGCUGACACAAAAACCUAGCUUUAGGAUGAUAUAGUAAAGUACUAUAAAACACAAAAAGGGUAGGUUGUUUUUCUAGUUUUGCUUGGAAUCCCACUCAUACUCGAGGCAUUUUUCAUGAUUCUCUCCUUUCCUGUGGAGGAAAAAAAAAAGAUUUUAAGUGGAGCCUAGUCUUUAGGAGUUGUGUAUAUAUGCUCUUGACUGAUGAACUCUUUCAUGUGCAUGUGAUCCAAUAGAAAGUCAUUUAAAAAAAUCAAACCAUAAAUUAUAGGAUGAAUUCGUAGCAAAGGUUAGGGAGAAGUCAGAACAGUUUGCUGAAGUUUAUUCUCUCCCUCUCUAUGACAUACUAGAUGAGAAGACAGUAUAUAGCGGGGGCUUUCCCAGUUGUUUGUACACAUUCUCCCACACCCUAACACAGAGGUAGGAAGUGGAGCAGAAUUGUUUAUAGAACUAAAGCUGGAUAAGCUAUCUAUGCAGAGCCUCUGCAGCAGAGGGCUUGCUUUGCAUGCUUUUAUACCUCAGUGAAUUUCAGUAGGAGCUGCGCUUUCACUUACACUACAUGGGCUACUGAAAGCCUUUGACCCAAUCUAUUUGCAACAGUUGAUCUCCCCUCUAAAUGGAGCCAGACGCUCAUUGCUCUGGCUGGUGCUAAGAGCUGGUGCACCUUGGCCUUGUGAAAGCAAACGGCAAGAAAAUCUGAAGAGAACAACUGUGAUUUCCCUCCGAACACAAAAUGUGUUUGAGCAGAAUAGAGUUAAAAUAAAUGACGUGGGGCGUUCUAGUGGAAAAACUUCUGACAUCUGGUUAUGCUCACACAAGCCAUUUGCUACCAAAGUAACUCCUGGAGGCUGAAAUGGCUUGAUGACAACAUAGGAAGAGGAUGGAGGAAGAAUGGCCUUUGACUCAUUCACAGGAAUCACCACGGCCAGAAGGAGUUGGCUAAAGAUCUUCCUGGCCAAGUACCAGCCCUGAUGAGGGAUUCUCAAAUACUUCUUGUGCAGGGGCUGAAGGCUACAAAUAAGUGAGAGGGAUGCGCAGAAGAGAAGGCAAAUAGAGAAUGAGGAACGACUCUGGAGAUGAUGUUUGCCAGCAGCUUGUGACACCACUCUGCGGCUCCUUGCCUUUUUCAAUAUUCAGAAGUGAAUAAAUAAAUAAAAACACAUUUUAAAAUUGGGAAUAAAUAAAUAAAAACAGAACAAACAACAACAGUAAAAAGGCAUGAUGAUGGCUACACACAGCAUCACUCAGUCUCAGCUGGGUUCCUGUACGCGUCUGCCCAGUUCCAGCCAGCGCUUCAGCAAUAAUUGAGUCAAAGCUGUCAGUAUGUACAAAAAUCUGGCCCAAUUCAUCUAAAUAUAGACCGUAGUGGGACAUUAUUGAAAAUAAGGGUUUAUCAUUUUAAUCAGUACCCCUUGGUUUAAUUCACUGCUACACAACAUUCCAGUGACUGGCUGUUCUCUUAGCAAUUUCCUUCAACUCUUCCAUGGGUCAGUAUCCGGGACUGAUAUCUCCUUCUUUUUCCCCAUGGAGCCAGAACAUGCAGAGCAGCCCACUUCUAACUGUAUGCAAUGAAAUGGCCCCAUAAAGGCCACGUGCAGACUGGAUGCGUGUGAGCAUGUGAACAGGGGGGCUUCUUUGUGAGGUAACUGCAUAUCAGCACAGCUAAAUAUCCUGGUUAGUCUCAGCAGCAAUCUAGGAAGGCAGCUGGGAAAACAUCAAAAUAAUUCACAACACAGAUAUCAUUGAAUUGUAAAAGGAGAAAAGCUGCACCUCUGUUUCUGGCCGGUAUUUUAAAGAUAUGAUUUGAUGAAAAUCAGAGUUGUGUUUUGAUAAUUCUAAACUUCUGUGAUUACAG